This 253-nucleotide ribosomal RNA is filed under the name uncultured prokaryote. Its description in RNAcentral is "partial 16S ribosomal RNA". It matches the Rfam family "Bacterial small subunit ribosomal RNA", at positions 524 to 776 of the family's 1533-position model. The record is from RNAcentral.
UACGUAGGGGGCAAGCGUUAUCCGGAUUUACUGGGUGUAAAGGGAGCGUAGGUGGUGUGGUAAGUCAGGUGUGAAAGCCCGGGGCUCAACUCCGGGAUUGCACUUGAAACUAUCAUACUAGAGUGCAGGAGAGGUAAGUGGAAUUCCUAGUGUAGCGGUGAAAUGCGUAGAUAUUAGGAGGAACACCAGUGGCGAAGGCGGCUUACUGGACUGUAACUGACACUGAGGCUCGAAAGCGUGGGGAUCAAACAGG